UAAAAAUUUAUUUAUUUUAGGUAGUAACAGAUUUCUUAAAAUCUAAAGAAUUUGGCGGUAUUUUAAAUAAUUAGAGGAACCUGUAAAAUAAAUGAUAAUCCACAAUAUAUCUGACCUUAAUUAAGUUUGUAUACCGUUGUUUUAAGAUUAUAUUUAAAAAUUUAUGAUCAGGAUUAAUUAAUUUUUAUAAAUCAAAUCAAGGUGCAGCAUAUUUAGGUUUUUAUGGGUUACAAUAUAUUUAUAUAUUUACGGAUUAAUAAUGAAAAUAUUUUUAAAGGUGGAUUUAAAAGUAAUUUAAAAUUAAAAUGUUUAAAUGAAUAAAAAUUUAAAAUAUGC
Molecule: ribosomal RNA, 336 nt
Filed under: Brachistosternus paulae
Lineage: Eukaryota; Metazoa; Arthropoda; Arachnida; Scorpiones; Bothriuridae
Description: partial 12S small subunit ribosomal RNA
Source: RNAcentral